Non-coding RNA from Staphylococcus chromogenes, 61 nucleotides. The record is from Rfam. Lineage: Bacteria; Bacillati; Bacillota; Bacilli; Caryophanales; Staphylococcaceae.
ACUCAACCCAUGAAAGUAGACACCCCACCAUAAGGGGAUGAGCGAAAUCAUGGGUUUUUUG